UUACAAAAGUUAUUUUAAAGUUAAACAUUUAUUUUCAGUUCAUUGUAUAUCAUUUCCCAGAAAGCCUUUAUUGCCUUACAUGACCACCAUAUAUGAUAAAAGGUACAGUGGUACCUCGGUUUACAAACUUAAUCUGUUCUGGAAGUCCGUUAUUAAACCGAAACCGUUCCUAAACCGAGACACGCUUUCCCUAAUGAGGCCUCCCGCCACUGGUGCCCUUCCACCGUUCGGAUUCCGUUCUUGGACCGAGGUAGAGUUCUCAAAACGGGACACUACUUCCGGUUUUGCAGAGUUCGUAAACUGAUUCGUUCUUAAACAGGACUGUUCUUAAACUGAGGUACCAUUGUACCUUCUUUUUCUCCACAGUUUAACUAUCAAUAGCCUUAUCGUCCACAAUUCUCCCUUUCCCAUUCUCCUACAGAGGAGUUUUCAGCCUUUAAAAAAAAUGCUUUAAUUAGCAGGGUUAGGGUAAAAUUUGGAGUUUUUGAAAGCGUGGUGGAAUGCUGGUGUUCUUUGCUUGCAUCCAAAAGAAAGUGCUUGGAGGUGUCUUGCGGAAUCCCACAAAGGAGACACUAACGCCGGUUCUCUGUUUCCCCCUCCAGACAACUUCGUCAGCCCUCAAAGGUGCCAUCCAGCUUGGGAUCACCCACACGGUAGGGAGCCUGAGCACCAAGCCAGAGCGAGAUGUCCUCAUGCAAGAUUUCUACGUAGUGGAGAGCAUCUUCUUCCCGGGUGAAGGCAGCAACCUCACCCCAGCCCAUCACUACAACGAUUUCCGCUUCAAAACCUACGCUCCUGUCGCUUUCCGCUAUUUCCGUGAACUGUUUGGGAUCCGGCCGGAUGACUACCUGUGCUCCCUUUGCAGUGAGCCCCUCAUCGAGCUCUCCAACUCCGGAGCCAGCGGCUCCAUCUUCUACGUCACCAGUGACGACGAGUUCAUCAUCAAAACAGUUCAGCACAAAGAGGCAGAGUUCUUGCAGAAGCUGCUGCCGGGUUACUACAUGAACUUGAACCAGAACCCCAGGACCCUCCUCCCCAAGUUCUACGGCCUCUACUGUGUGCAAGCUGGCGGCAAGAACAUCCGGAUUGUGGUGAUGAACAACCUGCUGCCCCGCUCCGUGCGCAUGCACCAGAAGUACGACCUGAAAGGCUCCACCUACAAGCGCCGGGCUUCCCAGAAGGAGCGGGAGAAGGUCUUCCCCACCUACAAGGACCUGGAUUUCAUGCAGGACAUUGCCGACGGCCUCUUCCUGGACGCUGACAUGUACAGCGCCUUGUGCAAGACACUGCAGAGAGACUGCUUGGUUUUGCAGAGCUUCAAAAUCAUGGACUACAGCUUGCUCGUGGCAGUCCACAACAUCGACCUGGCUCAGCGGGAGCGUGCCGUGGCAGAUGGGGUGGCCGUGGCGGACACACGGCGGCCAGCACCCCAGAAGGCCCUGUACUCCACAGCAAUGGAGGCCAUCCAAGGGGAAGCCCGGCGAGGUGGCACUAUUGAAACAGAUGACCAAAUGGGAGGGAUCCCGGCCCGGAACGCCAAGGGGGAGAGGCUGCUUCUCUACGUGGGGAUCAUCGAUGUGCUGCAAUCUUACAGGUUCAUUAAGAAGUUGGAGCACUCGUGGAAAGCCCUUGUUCAUGAUGGGGAUACAGUUUCGGUUCACCGGCCCAGUUUUUAUGCAGAAAGAUUCCAGCGGUUCAUGUGUAACAUUGUCUUCAAGAAAAUCCCUUUUAAAUCUUCCCCUUCGAAAAAGAGCCGGUCUGGUGCAGGACCUCCCCGGCGGCCAGGCCAGGGUGGCGCCCCAUCCCAGGUGCAAGGGCUGUGCGAGGCAAAAGCGCAGUUCACGAUGGAGGCGGAAAUCGAGCAAGGUUCCCAGCUGGGCCGCCCUGACCUUCUCCCCCACACUCCCCUUGCAGAGGAAAUAAACAGCGACUCAGCUGCCACAACCUUAUCCACCUCCUCCUUGGGGAGCAGAAGCCACGAUUCACCAGCCAACAGGUCGAUAGGAGUGGAAGUGCACAAAUCAGGUACCUCAAUGGAUCCGACUCCAGAGAGCUCCUUCCCUAGGUCACAGGAAAACAGCUUAUCUUCAGAGGUAGCUAGUUCAACGUUCUCCCAAGUAGGUGAAAAACUCACCCUGUCAGACAAGGAAGGCAUCAAUGUGCGGUGUCCCAAUAAUACCCUGGAAUGGGAAGAACCUCUGGACCUCCAGAUGUUGCCAGACUACAGUUCCCAUCAUUAUCAUCAUCCCUGAAUGUUGGCUGUGCUGGUUGAUGGGAGUUGGGAGUUCCAGCAAUCUCUGCAGGGCCACAGAUAGUGGUCACCCCCAUCCCUUAAGGCACAGACCCCUCCCCCCGGCGUGGAAUUGCAAGUUGGAAACUGCCUUGGGUUUGGGUUUUUUCCCCUCUUUCGUGGGAUGUUGAGUCACAUUCAGCAAAAUCUAAUUCCUGCUCAGCCAGAAAUUUUUCACUCAAGACUUUUGCACAGUUUUAAUUCUCCUGCAUGUAGAAAGCUAGUUCAUCAGGGAGAAGGGGAGGUUUGCUGCUUGCAGCAAUUUUCAUUUAUUUUUUAUAGAUGAUCCCCAAAUCCAUAGCUGUCAAGUUUUCCCUUUUCUCACGAUGAAGCCUAUUCAACAUAAGGGAAUUUGCCUUUAAAAAAGGGAAAACUUGACAGCUAUGCCCAGAUCCCAUCAAACUGCCACCUGCAGCCAAGACACAGACUUUCUCUCUCUAGUGAGAUCAGCUUCUUUCUGCAGCUGAACUCUCUCUUGGUUCAGGUUGGGGCAGAGAAUUGGUCUGGAGAAGUUAACUGGAUUCAAAACAAGCAAGAUCAGAGAAAGAGCAACAGGAACCUGGGAAGAGCUAAGCAAGCAGCUGUAUAGAAAUAAGAUCCCACCUUUCAUCCCCGUGUGCUUCAAGAGUUACUCUUGUUAGCAGCAAUAAAGUUUUUGACUUCUCAAAUGCCCCCUCCCCACCACCCUCCAUGGAAAUGAUGAAUGGGGAGGAAGCUUUGGUUUUUACCAGUUGGUUUGGCUGAGAUUUUUUCCUGUGUGUUGUGGGUUAAACUAAUCAACAAGGAGCUGAUCUUUCCCCUUCCUGCAGUGGAGGCGAAGGAAAGGCUCAGCAGCCCUGAGACCCCUCUGGGAACCAGCAGGAAGCUCCUUGCAUCUUGAUGGUCCCCUCUUCUCUGACUCUCACAUGCUGCUAAAGAGCUUCCCUUGGGGGCAUCUGGUUGGGCUCUGUGAGAACAGGAAUCUAGACAAGAUGAACCUCCUUUGGCCUGAUACAGCUGUGGGGUUCUUUGGGGGAGAAGCCCUUACUACUGAUCAGCUGGCCACUUAUGGGGAGGAAAGGGAUUCCUUUGUAGCAAACACCUGCCCAUGAAAGCUGGUACCAUAAACGAACACCAGUCCUGUUUUUGAGCAGCCUUUGCGGUGUAACCUGGGGAGGGUACACUUCAUAAUCAUAGCGGCCUUUUUUAAAGCAUCUUCUUUUCUCCCCUCUGCCCCCACCCAGCAUUUCUCCAGGACCCUCCGCACCAGGACGUCCCUCUGAGCUGACGGAGCAAUUUGAAGACUUGCCAGAGACGGAGAUCAGCUUUUGAAAUAUCAUGGGGUGGAUUCCUUCUUUAGACAUGAGCGGAAGACUUUCCUCCACACACUCUGCGUUGUCUGUGGAGCACUGAACCUCCAGCCCUUCCCAGGCUGCUGAUACCUAGAACUUUUAAGUGAUCCGAACAGACAAAACGGGGGGCUCAGCCCCUCUCUCA
Non-coding RNA from Zootoca vivipara (common lizard), 3766 nucleotides. The record is from RefSeq and is a predicted model, not a curated record. Lineage: Eukaryota; Metazoa; Chordata; Lepidosauria; Squamata; Lacertidae.